AUUGAACGCUGGCGGCAGGCCUAACACAUGCAAGUCGGACGGUAGCACAGAGGAGCUUGCUCCUUGGGUGACGAGUGGCGGACGGGUGAGUAAUGUCUGGGGAUCUGCCCGAUAGAGGGGGAUAACCACUGGAAACGGUGGCUAAUACCGCAUAACGACGCAAGACCAAAGAGGGGGACCUUCGGGCCUCUCACUAUCGGAUGAACCCAGAUGGGAUUAGCUAGUAGGCGGGGUAAUGGCCCACCUAGGCGACGAUCCCUAGCUGGUCUGAGAGGAUGACCAGCCACACUGGAACUGAGACACGGUCCAGACUCCUACGGGAGGCAGCAGUGGGGAAUAUUGCACAAUGGGCGCAAGCCUGAUGCAGCCAUGCCGCGUGUAUGAAGAAGGCCUUCGGGUUGUAAAGUACUUUCAGCGGGGAGGAAGGCGAUGCGGUUAAUAACCGCAUCGAUUGACGUUACCCGCAGAAGAAGCACCGGCUAACUCCGUGCCAGCAGCCGCCGUAA
This 506-nucleotide ribosomal RNA is filed under the name uncultured bacterium. Its description in RNAcentral is "partial 16S ribosomal RNA". It matches the Rfam family "Bacterial small subunit ribosomal RNA", at positions 29 to 523 of the family's 1533-position model. The record is from RNAcentral.